RNAcentral lists this small RNA (76 nucleotides) under Xanthomonas oryzae pv. oryzae. Its description in RNAcentral is "sX9". It matches the Rfam family "Xanthomonas sRNA sX9". Lineage: Bacteria; Pseudomonadati; Pseudomonadota; Gammaproteobacteria; Lysobacterales; Lysobacteraceae. The record is from RNAcentral.
AUGGACCACGCGUCCACUGCGGUUGUGAGCGCGCCGUCCGCGCCCACCUGACAAGCCCCCCUCCCUUUUGUUCUCC